GCCCCGUGGUGUAGUGGUUUUGUCGCGUUAUCCUUCAAUAUUGAAGGUCCCUGGUUCGACUCCCAGUCAAGGCA
Mycena sp. CBHHK59/15 is the source of this 74-nucleotide non-coding RNA. The record is from the annotation of a GenBank genome assembly. NCBI's taxonomy places the organism in Eukaryota, Fungi, Basidiomycota, Agaricomycetes, Agaricales, Mycenaceae.